This is a long non-coding RNA of Mytilus trossulus (common blue mussel), 489 nucleotides long. RefSeq lists it as uncharacterized. The record is from RefSeq and is a predicted model, not a curated record. The transcript has 4 exons. Lineage: Eukaryota; Metazoa; Mollusca; Bivalvia; Mytilida; Mytilidae.
CGCAUUUACUUCCGGAAGUGCUCUUAGGGUACAAAAGAUGAAAACAUUGAGAAUUUUAGAAAAUCGUUUAUGAGAAUUGCAUUCUGUGUAGAGCAUAUAUUUCCAUUUUGGUAAUAUCUUUGCAUUGAGCAAAGUUGUAUAUAGAUCGGUUUUUAGUCAACACUUCCAAGAUAAAAACAUGUACAAGAAACAGAAGAAAUCCAAGAAAAAUACCUGUAGCCAAGAAAAAAACUACAACAAGAAAGGAUACUGACAAUUCAACAACCAACAAAAACCAGAGUUCUAAGAAUGCAAGUAACAGCAAAACAACAUUAAGCCAUCUACAAGUACAACUGAACAAUACACUGGUAAAAGAAAAAUAUCAAUGAGGUGUUCAAACACUAAAUUUGUUGGUCGUAGAAUCAAACACAAGUGGACGAUUAACGAAGAAGAAAUUUGGUAUGAGGGAACAGUUUUAGCUGCAGUUUCUGGAAAAGAGGGUGAAAGAUU